GGACUGGUCCCCCGCGGCCGGCGGGGCGCGCCCGCCCCCCCAUGGACCGCAGGCUCCGCGCUCCGGCCCCGGGUCCGAGCCCAGGGCC
This 88-nucleotide microRNA precursor is filed under the name Pteropus vampyrus (large flying fox). Its description in RNAcentral is "miRNA (ENSPVAG00000025473.1)". The record is from RNAcentral. Lineage: Eukaryota; Metazoa; Chordata; Mammalia; Chiroptera; Pteropodidae.